RNAcentral lists this microRNA precursor (93 nucleotides) under Canis lupus familiaris (dog). RNAcentral describes it as "mir-8799 microRNA precursor family". It matches the Rfam family "mir-8799 microRNA precursor family". Lineage: Eukaryota; Metazoa; Chordata; Mammalia; Carnivora; Canidae. The record is from Rfam by way of RNAcentral. RNAcentral also lists the same sequence under 1 other name.
GGGGAGUGACGGAUCCUGGGCUGUGUCCCCUGGCGCCCUGGGUUCUGGCGCCUGCGCUGCUGGAUUUGUGCUCCUAGGCCGCAGCAGCUCCCU